CGGAUGCUGACGAGUGGCGAACGGGUGAGUAAUACAUCGGAACGUGCCUAGUAGUGGGGGAUAACUACUCGAAAGAGUGGCUAAUACCGCAUGAGAUCUACGGAUGAAAGCAGGGGAUCGCAAGACCUUGUGCUACUAGAGCGGCCGAUGGCAGAUUAGGUAGUUGGUGGGAUAAAAGCUUACCAAGCCGACGAUCUGUAGCUGGUCUGAGAGGACGAUCAGCCACACUGGGACUGAGACACGGCCCAGACUCCUACGGGAGGCAGCAGUGGGGAAUUUUGGACAAUGGGCGCAAGCCUGAUCCAGCAAUGCCGCGUGCAGGAUGAAGGCCUUCGGGUUGUAAACUGCUUUUGUACGGAACGAAAAGCCCUGGGUUAAUACCCUGGGGUCAUGACGGUACCGUAAGAAUAAGCACCGGCUAACUACGUGCCAGCAGCCGCGGUAAUACGUAGGGUGCAAGCGUUAAUCGGAAUUACUGGGCGUAAAGCGUGCGCAGGCG
This 499-nucleotide ribosomal RNA is filed under the name Comamonas aquatica. Its description in RNAcentral is "bacterial SSU rRNA". It matches the Rfam family "Bacterial small subunit ribosomal RNA", at positions 82 to 577 of the family's 1533-position model. The record is from RNAcentral. Lineage: Bacteria; Pseudomonadati; Pseudomonadota; Betaproteobacteria; Burkholderiales; Comamonadaceae.